AGACACUCAUUCAGACACUUUUGUCACCUCACUUACUCUCUCUGUCUCUCCCCCCUCUCCCUCUCUCAUAUUUCUCUUUUUUCUAUAAACAUAUUUCAGAAAUGGAGUUAUUGUCUCCCAACAAUUCCAGGAGAACCAAACAAUGGCUUCCUCCGAGAAGAGGACAGGUCAAGAUCAUGAUCGUCCGCAAACUCCUCAAAUCGACGGCCUCGAUCGUUUCACUGUGGAAGAGGCGAGAUUGUAAAUAACUGUGUACAUACUUUUUGUUGUUGUUUUAAUGUUAAUUAUGUACAUACUUUGUAAGAUGUAAUCUCAUGUAUCACGUAUGAAAAAAAAAGUUUUUGUUAGAAGAUAUUUUUUGCUUAUUAAUCUCUAUAUUAUGUAGACAAAUUUUCUUUUCUUCCUUGUAAAUAUUUACAAGUUGUUCCAUAUAUUACAUGCCAUAACUUAAAAAUGAUACUAACGGGUCUUGGACCAAAACUGAUAUCUGUUGGGACAUGCAUAAAGCCUAACAUAACAAUUAACAAGUGUCAUAAAUUUUGGAUUCACUUGUAGCGAUGAUACAACGAAAGUAAAACUACUUAUUACAUUUGUCAAAUGAUACUAUAUAGGUAGCUCAUAACUAUGUAUAGAUCUCUAAAAUUCAUCUAAACCCGAAUUCUGCCGUGUGGAAUUAACAAAAAAAAAAAAAAGAAGAGUAAAUCAUUUGAACAAUUACGUGUGUUACAUUCCUGUUAAUCAUAUUUAUAUAUGUAUAGGUUAAAGCUUGCUUAUCUACUAUGGAACAAAGAGGAUCUAUAAUAACCCUUCAGCAAGUCAGCGACAAAGACUGUAGUAGCGCGUUACGAUAGUGAUAACGUUCACACGUGUCUCCAUUGCCACAUCUACUCAGACACCAACCAAAAAAACCUUGUAG
RNAcentral lists this long non-coding RNA (916 nucleotides) under Arabidopsis thaliana (thale cress). RNAcentral's name for it is "long non-coding RNA (ATHA_LNC000167)". The record is from RNAcentral. Lineage: Eukaryota; Viridiplantae; Streptophyta; Magnoliopsida; Brassicales; Brassicaceae.